UCGAGUUUUUGAACGCAAGUUGCGCCCGAGGCCAGCCGGCCAAGGGCACGUCCGCCUGGGCGUCAAGCGUUGCGUCGCUCCGUGCCAGCUCCAUCACACCUGUGUGUGUGUCAGCCAAGGCCCGGACGUGCAGAGUGGCUCAUCGUGCCAAUCGGUGCGG
This 160-nucleotide ribosomal RNA is filed under the name Cremastra appendiculata. RNAcentral describes it as "5.8S ribosomal RNA". Lineage: Eukaryota; Viridiplantae; Streptophyta; Magnoliopsida; Asparagales; Orchidaceae. The record is from RNAcentral.